UACGGAGGGAGCUAGCGUUGUUCGGAAUUACUGGGCGUAAAGCGCGCGUAGGCGGCUUUGUAAGUUAGAGGUGAAAGCCCGGGGCUCAACCCCGGAAUUGCCUUUAAGACUGCAUCGCUUGAAUCCGGGAGAGGUGAGUGGAAUUCCGAGUGUAGAGGUGAAAUUCGUAGAUAUUCGCAAGAACACCAGUGGCGAAGGCGGCUGACUGGUCCGGUUCUGACGCUGAGGCGCGAAAGCGUGGGGAGCAAACAGG
RNAcentral lists this ribosomal RNA (253 nucleotides) under uncultured bacterium. Its description in RNAcentral is "partial 16S ribosomal RNA". It matches the Rfam family "Bacterial small subunit ribosomal RNA", at positions 524 to 776 of the family's 1533-position model. The record is from RNAcentral.